This 460-nucleotide ribosomal RNA is filed under the name uncultured bacterium. RNAcentral's name for it is "partial 16S ribosomal RNA". It matches the Rfam family "Bacterial small subunit ribosomal RNA", at positions 338 to 795 of the family's 1533-position model. The record is from RNAcentral.
CCUACGGGUGGCAGCAGUGGGGAAUAUUGGUCAAUGGGCUUACGCCUGAACCAGCCAAGUCGCGUGUGUGAAGACUGCCCUAUGGGUUGUAAACCUCUUUUGUCAGGGAGCAAUCGGCGCUACGUGUAGCGUUAUCGAGAGUACUUGCAGAAAAAGCAUCGGCUAACUCCGUGCCAGCAACCGCGGAAAGACGGAGGAUGCGAGCGUUAUCCGGAUUGAUUGGGUUUAAAGGGGACGUAGGCGGAAUGCCCGUACAGCGUGAAAAUCGCGGGGCUCAACCGGGCUCCGCCGUUGAUACUGGCGUUCUUGAGUGGAGGAGAGGGAUGCGGAAUGCGUGGUGUAGCGGUGAAAUGCAUAGAUAUCACGCAGAACACCGAUUGCGAAGGCAGCAUACCAAGCUACUUCUGACGUUGAGGCACGAAAGCGUGGGGAGCAAACAGGAUUAGAUACCCCAGUAGUC